Molecule: ribosomal RNA, 495 nt
Filed under: uncultured bacterium
Lineage: Bacteria
Description: partial 16S ribosomal RNA
Rfam family: Bacterial small subunit ribosomal RNA
Source: RNAcentral
ACUCAAAUGAAUUGACGGGGGCCCGCACAAGCAGCGGAGCAUGUGGUUUAAUUCGAAGCAACGCGAAGAACCUUACCAGAACUUGACAUCGUACGCAUUACCGGUAAAACGGGAAGUCCUUCGGGACGUAUAGACAGGUGGUGCAUGGUUGUCGUCAGCUCGUGUCGUGAGAUGUUGGGUUAAGUCCCGCAACGAGCGCAACCCUUAUUGUUAGUUGCCAUCAUUAAGUUGGGCACUCUAAUGAGACUGCCGGAGAUAAUUCGGAGGAAGGUGGGGAUGACGUCAAAUCAUCAUGCCCCUUAUGUUCUGGGCUACACACGUGCUACAAUGGGUAUAACAACGGGAAGCAAGGCAGUGAUGUCAAGCAAACCCCUAAAAAGUACCCUCAGUUCAGAUUGUAGGCUGAAACUCGCCUACAUGAAGUCGGAGUUGCUAGUAAUCGCGAAUCAGCAUGUCGCGGUGAAUACGUUCCCGGGCCUUGCACACACCGCCCGU